AAGCGCUCAUGACCAGACUUGGGCCCGGUGAAUCAUCCAGCGUUCUCGCUGGUGCACUUUGCCGGGUCCAGGCCAGCAUCAGUUUGCCUUGGGGGAUAAAGGCUUCGGGAAUGUGGCUCCUCCGGGAGUGUUAUAGCCCGUUGCACAAUACCCUGGGGCGGACUGAGGUUCGCGCAUCUGCAUGGAUGCUGGCGUAAUGGUCAUCAGCGA
RNAcentral lists this ribosomal RNA (210 nucleotides) under Metarhizium sp. RNAcentral's name for it is "partial large subunit ribosomal RNA". Lineage: Eukaryota; Fungi; Ascomycota; Sordariomycetes; Hypocreales; Clavicipitaceae. The record is from RNAcentral.